GCCUGCGUAGCUCAGCUGGCUAGAGCGGCUGCCUUGUAAGCAGUAGGUCGGGAGUUCGAAUCUCUCCGCAGGCU
RNAcentral lists this transfer RNA (74 nucleotides) under archaeon. RNAcentral describes it as "tRNA-Thr". It matches the Rfam family "tRNA". From Rfam's summary of the family: Transfer RNA (tRNA) molecules are approximately 80 nucleotides in length. Their secondary structure includes four short double-helical elements and three loops (D, anti-codon, and T loops). The record is from RNAcentral.